Non-coding RNA from Xyrichtys novacula (pearly razorfish), 287 nucleotides. Lineage: Eukaryota; Metazoa; Chordata; Actinopteri; Labriformes; Labridae. The record is from the annotation of a GenBank genome assembly.
CAUGUGUGGCAAAGAGUAGCCCACCCCCAAGUGUGGCAAAGAGUAGCCCCCCCCAAGUGUGGCAAAGAGUAGCCCACCCCCAAGUGUGGCAAAGAGUAGCCCCCCCCAAGUGUGGCAAAGAGUGGUCCAAGACCAUUCAAGUAUAUAUAGCGGUUCACAAUCCUAAACAUACUGUUGGUAUUUAGUUGACCCUAAGAGAAAUCCAUGUAUGGUAAAAACAAAGGACAACAUGUUUCAAAAGCCUUAGAUGAACAUGUGGAAGGUCCCAAGAAGGAAAUAUCAUGGCA